GAAAUGCGAUACGUAAUGUGAAUUGCAGAAUCCCGUGAAUCAUCAAAUUUUCGAACGCAUAUUGCGCUCUUGGGUAUUCCUGAGAGCAUGCCUGUUUGAGUGUCAGUAUCAAACCUCAAACCCUUUUGGGUUUGGACAUGGGCCUUCUCAGAAACGAAUUUUCGGGUCUGAGUUGGAUGCUUAAAUGGAUAGGAGGAUUUAAACUUUUGAAACCCCUUUGUUAGGCGUGAUGAUGGUGUGGUUUACAUCUUUUUUUCGCCAAAGUUGGGUGCAGAGUUUUUUCUCCCUAAUCGCCUUACUGCUAGGCACCAACUAAAGGGAAAUCCCCUUUUGAAACUUGACCUCAAAUCAAGCAAGAUUACCCGCUGAACUUAA
This 375-nucleotide unclassified non-coding RNA is filed under the name uncultured Saccharomycetales. RNAcentral's name for it is "sequence contains ITS1". The stretch from base 1 to 105 matches the Rfam family "5.8S ribosomal RNA", at positions 50 to 154 of the family's 154-position model. Lineage: Eukaryota; Fungi; Ascomycota; Saccharomycetes. The record is from RNAcentral.